Panicum virgatum (switchgrass) is the source of this 1350-nucleotide long non-coding RNA. RefSeq lists it as uncharacterized. The record is from RefSeq and is a predicted model, not a curated record. NCBI's taxonomy places the organism in Eukaryota, Viridiplantae, Streptophyta, Magnoliopsida, Poales, Poaceae. The transcript is spliced from 2 exons.
GGUGGCGCUUGGUUUUCUUCUCCGUUCCUCUGCUUCACGCAAUCGCCGGCGCCCCUGCGAUCCAGGGCCAUCAGCCAGACGCCGUGAAGACCGAGCAAUCCUUCCCCGAGAGAGCGGAGAGCUCGACGCUGGCUGCCGUCGUUCGCCGAGUACGUAGCGUCGACAGUCGCCGGAACCUGCGUCCCCGUCUCUAGCUCGACAAUAGGUAUGGUAAAAUCGAUCCGUUACCCUCUGUGGGUGAAGCCUGAUGCAAGCACAUCCUUUUCUCCUUCGAGCGUCAACAUCUGCGACGCCCUUCCACGGAGCUAUAGAAGCCACGCCGUGAACGAAGCCGGUGGCAGCGUGCACGGGCUAUCCGCGGACCUGUUUUUUCCUCGCUCCCCUUUGCGAUCUCGCUCCCAUCUGCGAUCAAGGUGACGCAAGGAUCUAAACUCAACUUUCCGGUGAUGGUAGAAGCCAGCGUGGGAGACUCAAUAAUCAGGCGAAUCUAGAAAAAGAAGACUCCACAAUCAUGCGUCCAGUCCCGUCGACUACCAUCUAGACAGGUUCAUCUUCCUGUCACUCGCCGGAGCCGGAGACUUGGAGACCUGACGCUGCUCGCCGGAGUCUGCGAUCGUAUUAUAUAUCUAUGUUUAAUACAUGCCAGCCUCACAAGUGUGUAAAAGCUAACCUUCAGUCAUUUCCACGGCAGUUAUAGAAACAAGAAACAAUAAAAGUAUGACUUGAUCAUAAAUCAGGAAACAAUUAUUUCAUCUACUAGAAGCACUUGCACCAGAAUAUUGUUUAGUUAAUUGCGUGCUGCACAGGCUUAUUUAAGUUACUGAUAUCUUUUUUUAUCAGCACAAACUAUUUGAGCUUAAGGGGAGCUUGCAGAAGCUUUUUUUUUAGUAAAGAGUAAAGAGAGAUUUUAUUGAUUACUCAUGGAAAUGUUACAAUCAAGAGCAAUCAACUGCUCGAUAGAGUUAGGAUAACAGCCUCGCCGCACAGCACUGUGGUUCAGGUGCUUCGCCAUCUGUGCAAGAUCAUCGGCUCCUAAAUUCCUAUCUCUAUUUACAUGAUUCAACUCAAAACCUGGCAAUCUACUAGCCGCAUGAGAAGCCUCAUAGAUAAUGGAGAGACAUGCAGGCUUCAAGACCAUCUGAUUCAAAAUGAAGGAAGUGAACACACACACACACACACACUGUGACACACACACAAAAAAGACUGAUCUGAUCACAAAUAAUACCAAUAUACCAUGUGUCAACACGAAAAUUAGAGUAGCCGUUCUUUCAGCUAGCUUCUGACCCGUACACGUUGCCAUUUGGAGACUGAAGUUUCAGGAAAACAAAAUGUUGAAUGUGUCCACCUAAA